RNAcentral lists this ribosomal RNA (274 nucleotides) under uncultured bacterium. RNAcentral's name for it is "partial 16S ribosomal RNA". It matches the Rfam family "Bacterial small subunit ribosomal RNA", at positions 523 to 796 of the family's 1533-position model. The record is from RNAcentral.
AUACGGAGGGGACUAGCGUUGUUCGGAAUUACUGGGCGUAAAGAGUUCGUAGGCGGACUGAUAAGUAAGAGGUGAAAUCCCAGGGCUCAACCCUGGAACUGCCUUUUAAACUGUCAGUCUAGAGACCGGAAGAGGUUAGGGGAAUACCUAGUGUAGAGGUGAAAUUCGUAGAUAUUAAGUGGAACACCAGUGGCGAAGGCGCCUAACUGGUCCGGUACUGACGCUGAGGAACGAAAGCGUGGGGAGCAAACAGGAUUAGAUACCCUAGUAGUCC